AACGAACGCUGGCGGCAGGCCUAACACAUGCAAGUCGAGCGAGGACUUCGGUUCUAGCGGCGGACGGGUGAGUAACGCGUGGGAAUGUGCCCUUCUCUACGGAAUAGCCCUGGGAAACUGGGAGUAAUACCGUAUACGCCCUAUUGGGGAAAGAUUUAUCGGAGAAGGAUCAGCCCGCGUUGGAUUAGGUAGUUGGUAGGGUAAUGGCCUACCAAGCCGACGAUCCAUAGCUGGUUUGGGAGGAUGAUCAGCCACACUGGGACUGAGACACGGCCCAGACUCCUACGGGAGGCAGCAGUGGGGAAUCUUAGACAAUGGGGGCAACCCUGAUCUAGCCAUGCCGCGUGAGUGAUGAAGGCCUUAGGGUUGUAAAGCUCUUUCAGCUGGGAAGAUAAUGACGGUACCAGCAGAAGAAGCCCCGGCUAACUCCGUG
RNAcentral lists this ribosomal RNA (433 nucleotides) under uncultured bacterium. RNAcentral's name for it is "partial 16S ribosomal RNA". It matches the Rfam family "Bacterial small subunit ribosomal RNA", at positions 29 to 507 of the family's 1533-position model. The record is from RNAcentral.